CACGUAGGGGGCAAGCGUUGUCCGGAUUUAUUGGGCGUAAAGAGCUCGUAGGUGGUUCGGUAAGUCGGGUGUUAAACCCCCAGGCUCAACCUGGGGACGCCACUCGAUACUGCUGUGACUUGAGUCCGGUAGGGGAGCGUGGAAUUCCUGGUGUAGCGGUGAAAUGCGCAGAUAUCAGGAGGAACACCAGCGGCGAAGGCGGCGCUCUGGGCGGGUACUGACACUGAGGAGCGAAAGCGUGGGUAGCAAACAGG
This 254-nucleotide ribosomal RNA is filed under the name uncultured bacterium. RNAcentral's name for it is "partial 16S ribosomal RNA". It matches the Rfam family "Bacterial small subunit ribosomal RNA", at positions 524 to 776 of the family's 1533-position model. The record is from RNAcentral.